GACGAACGCUGGCGGCGUGCUUAACACAUGCAAGUCGAACGGAAAGGCCCUGCUUUUGUGGGGUGCUCGAGUGGCGAACGGGUGAGUAACACGUGAGUAACCUGCCCUUGACUUUGGGAUAACUUCAGGAAACUGGGGCUAAUACCGGAUAGGAGCUCCUGCUGCAUGGGGGGGGUUGGAAAGUUUCGGCGGUUGGGGAUCGACUCGCGGCUUAUCAGCUUGUUGGGGGGGUAGUGGCUUACCAAGGCUUUGACGGGUAGCCGGCCUGAGAGGGUGACCGGCCACAUUGGGACUGAGAUACGGCCCAGACGGCUACGGGAGGCAGCAGUGGGGAAUAUUGCACAAUGGGCGGAAGCCUGAUGCAGCAACGCCGCGUGCGGGAUGACGGCCUUCGGGUUGUAAACCGCUUUCGCCUGUGACGAAGCGUGAGUGACGGUAAUGGGUAAAGAAGCACCGGCUAACUACGUG
Molecule: ribosomal RNA, 468 nt
Filed under: uncultured bacterium
Lineage: Bacteria
Description: partial 16S ribosomal RNA
Rfam family: Bacterial small subunit ribosomal RNA
Source: RNAcentral